CGUCAUGGUUGAUUUUGGCGUCACCACAAAAAGAUGUAGGGCCUAUUGUAAAUAUUAGCUAAUCUAGUGUAACGUUAAAGAGUUAAAUAACCUCGUGUUCGUAAUAAUUUUAUGCAUAAUAUGUAUACGUUUUCAGCUGAAAGCAGUCCUAGAAAACGAUAAAGAAAAAAGGUAGGUACAUUUAUGAAAUGUAAACAAGCAUGCCCCGGCCCUGAUGUGUACAUGUACCUAACGUUAUAGCGAUGUUGAGUUGUCUCACUACUGUUAUGUCGCAAGAGGCUGCUUGUUAAAUUAUAGAAUAUUACCUAAAUCAUAUUAAAAAUAAUCUAUUGAUAAUUUGGAUAAUUAUCAAGUUUGUGUUCAAAAAGGAGGGGUUGGUGGUUAUUUAGGAACUCUUCUGUUUCUUGAGGUAAUAAUUUUCGGUUCACUGAAUGGAUGUUGAACCUCGUCUGGCAUUGAUGCAGAGGGUGUUACUAACAGCAUUAGUCAUUUCACCAAUGAUACAGACAAAGAUGCUAAUUUGGUCAUGAAGCUGAAUGUCUUUAAUGACAAAGAGGACCUCUGUCUGUAUGCUGUGAAGAAUAUACAGCCAAGGGAAUAGAUUCAAUACAAUUAUGGAGAUAAAGAGAACCUUUGGUGGAGGAGCAAGUAAUUUCUAAGAUGGCACAACGAGAAGAGAAUGCUGCAGAGGUGUUAGAUUGAGAUGUUGAGCAAAUGGAUUUAGAGCAAUGUUAAGAGAAUGCUGGAGAGGAGUUAGAUGGAGAUGUUGAGCAAGUGGAUCUGGAGCAAGAAGCAGAGAAAGCUGGAGAGUAUGUUUUAGAUGGAGACGUUAAUCAAGUGGAUUUGAAGCAACGUUAAGAGAAUGCUGGAGAGGUGUUAGAUGGAGAUGUUGAGGUAAAACAUGUCUGGAGGGUUACUUGAGCAGAUCUACAUCCUUUUCUUGCACAGUUCUUCAGUUCAGAACAAAGAUCAUGAAUGAAAAGAACAAAAGAAAAAAGAAGCAUUCCAAUCGAUUAAAAAACUUUUUUUUUUAGAUAUUUUAAACCAAAACUUUAAAUCAAAUGCCUUCGUUUACUCCCUUUUAGCUAACCGGAGAUGAAAGCUCAUGUGAGCUUUUCAGAUCACUUUUUUGUAUGGCAUCUGUCUGUCAACUUUCAUAUUUUCAACUUAUUCCCUAGAACCACUUGGCUAAUUUCAACCAAACUUGGCAUGAAGAAACCUUGUGUAAAUGGCAUUCAAAUAUGUUCGAAUGAAGGGUUAAGUCAUAUCUAAA
Magallana angulata is the source of this 1273-nucleotide long non-coding RNA. RefSeq lists it as uncharacterized. The transcript is spliced from 7 exons. Lineage: Eukaryota; Metazoa; Mollusca; Bivalvia; Ostreida; Ostreidae. The record is from RefSeq and is a predicted model, not a curated record.